RNAcentral lists this ribosomal RNA (368 nucleotides) under uncultured organism. RNAcentral's name for it is "bacterial SSU rRNA". It matches the Rfam family "Bacterial small subunit ribosomal RNA", at positions 527 to 896 of the family's 1533-position model. The record is from RNAcentral.
GGAGGGUGCAAGCGUUAUCCGGAUUUACUGGGUUUAAAGGGUGUGUAGGCGGACUUUUAAGUCAGCGGUGAAAUCUCCGGGCUCAACCCGGAAACUGCCAUUGAUACUAUUAGUCUUGAAUCUUGUUGAGGUAGGCGGAACGGGUCAUGUAGCGGUGAAAUGCAUAGAUAUGACCCGGAACACCGAUUGCGAAGGCAGCCUACUAAGCAAGUAUUGACGCUGAGGCACGAAAGCGUGGGGAUCAAACAGGAUUAGAUACCCUGGUAGUCCACGCCCUAAACGAUGAUUACUCGACGUUGGCGAUACACUGAUCAGCGUCCAAGCGAAAGCAUUAAGUAAUCCACCUGGGAAGUACGUUCGCAAGAAUG